GCCCCCAUAGUUUAGUCUGGAUAGAACACGAGCUUGCGGAGCUUGAGACCGGGGUUCAAAUCCUCGUGGGGGCA
RNAcentral lists this transfer RNA (74 nucleotides) under Candidatus Pacearchaeota archaeon. RNAcentral's name for it is "tRNA-Arg". It matches the Rfam family "tRNA". From Rfam's summary of the family: Transfer RNA (tRNA) molecules are approximately 80 nucleotides in length. Their secondary structure includes four short double-helical elements and three loops (D, anti-codon, and T loops). The record is from RNAcentral. Lineage: Archaea; Nanobdellati.